Non-coding RNA from Plutella xylostella (diamondback moth), 861 nucleotides. NCBI's taxonomy places the organism in Eukaryota, Metazoa, Arthropoda, Insecta, Lepidoptera, Plutellidae. The record is from RefSeq and is a predicted model, not a curated record.
CCCAAUGUAGUUUUUCUGAGCUGGUCUGAGCCAAGUCUGAGCCCAUGCCGCAAUAUUGUCAAUGUCAUCAAAAUUUUUGACAUACAAAACCAUAAUCUAGUAACUGAACAAAACCAUACAAAUUAUUUUAUGUAUUUAAAGAAGAUGAGUUAAAAGCUGUUAAAAAAUAAAUAAAUUAGGUACCUACUUAAGUAUAAGAAAAUGGGAAACAUACUAUGGUCGAUAAUUUGGUUACUUAUUCUAGAUGGUGGAUAGCACUUAUAGCGGUGUCUUUCUAUGUAAUUUAACUCCUAUUUCAGACCUUUAUUCCUUUGUCAAUGGUCUGAGCCCAUGCCGCAAUAUUGUCAAUGUCAUCAAAAUUUUUGACAUACAAAACCAUAAUCUAGUAACUGAACAAAACCAUACCAAAAUAUUUUAUGUAUUUAAAGAAGAUUAGUUAAAAGCUGUUAAAAAAUAAAUAAAUUAGGUACCUACUUAAGUAUAAGAAAAUGGGAAACAUACUAUGGUCGAUAAUUUGGUUACUUAUUCUAAUAUUUGCUGGAUGGUGGAUAGCACUUAUAGUGGUGCCUUUCUAUGUAAUUUUACUCCCAUUUGCAAUAUGCUUCUCAGCUCUUUCGCCAUUCACAGAUAUGUUGCUGGUAAUAGCUCAGUUUCCCGGUCUUUGCGCUCAAAAAAUCAAGGCUGGAGAAGGAUUUUAGAAAUAUUUUUGUGCAAUACUUUGAUUAUGGUCGAAGAUGCAAUAGUGUAUUUUAUAAAAUGAUAUGUGAAAGUUUAACUAAUGUAUAUUAUAGGUAUAAUUUGUUAAGUUCUAUCCUAAUGUUUGUUUUCUAUUAAAAUUUGUUAGUUAGUGGUGAUAAGCAA